CCUACGGGAGGCAGCAGUGAGGAAUAUUGGUCAAUGGGCGAGAGCCUGAACCAGCCAAGUCGCGUGAAGGAUGACGGCCCUACGGGGUGUAAACUUCUUUUGUCAGGGAGCAAAUGAGUCCACGUGUGGGCUUAGCGAGAGUACCUGAAGAAAAAGCAGCGGCUAACUCCGGGCCAGGAGCCGCGGUAAUACGGAGGAUGCGAGCGUUAGCAGGAUUGAGUGGGUUUAAAGGGUGCGUAGGCGGAAUAUCAAGUCAGCGGUAAAACUUCGGGGCUCAACCCCGUCGUGCCGUUGAAACGGAUGUUCUUGCGUGGGCGUGCCGUAUGCGGCAUGCGUGGUGUAGCGGUGACAUGCAUAGAUAUCACGCAGAACUCCGAUUGCGAAGGCAGCAUACCGGCGCCCAACUGACGCUGACGCACGAAAGCGUGUGUAUCGAACAGGAUUAGAUACCCUAGUAGUC
RNAcentral lists this ribosomal RNA (460 nucleotides) under uncultured bacterium. RNAcentral describes it as "partial 16S ribosomal RNA". It matches the Rfam family "Bacterial small subunit ribosomal RNA", at positions 338 to 795 of the family's 1533-position model. The record is from RNAcentral.